RNAcentral lists this ribosomal RNA (1346 nucleotides) under uncultured bacterium. RNAcentral's name for it is "bacterial SSU rRNA". It matches the Rfam family "Bacterial small subunit ribosomal RNA", at positions 28 to 1381 of the family's 1533-position model. The record is from RNAcentral.
GACGAACGCUGGCGGCGUGCUUAACACAUGCAAGUCGAACGGAAAGGCCCUGCUUUUGUGGGGUGCUCGAGUGGCGAACGGGUGAGUAACACGUGAGUAACCUGCCCUUGACUUUGGGAUAACUUCAGGAAACUGGGGCUAAUACCGGAUAGGAGCUCCUGCUGCAUGGUGGGGGUUGGAAAGUUUCGGCGGUUGGGGAUGGACUCGCGGCUUAUCAGCUUGUUGGUGGGGUAGUGGCUUACCAAGGCUUUGACGGGUAGCCGGCCUGAGAGGGUGACCGGCCACAUUGGGACUGAGAUACGGCCCAGACUCCUACGGGAGGCAGCAGUGGGGAAUAUUGCACAAUGGGCGGAAGCCUGAUGCAGCAACGCCGCGUGCGGGAUGACGGCCUUCGGGUUGUAAACCGCUUUCGCCUGUGACGAAGCGUGAGUGACGGUAAUGGGUAAAGAAGCACCGGCUAACUACGUGCCAGCAGCCGCGGUGAUACGUAGGGUGCGAGCGUUGUCCGGAUUUAUUGGGCGUAAAGGGCUCGUAGGUGGUUGAUCGCGUCGGAAGUGUAAUCUUGGGGCUUAACCCUGAGCGUGCUUUCGAUACGGGUUGACUUGAGGAAGGUAGGGGAGAAUGGAAUCCCUGGUGGAGCGGUGGAAUGCGCAGAUAUCAGGAGGAACACCAGUGGCGAAGGCGGUUCUCUGGGCCUUUCCUGACGCUGAGGAGCGAAAGCGUGGGGAGCGAACAGGCUUAGAUACCCUGGUAGUCCACGCUGUAAACGGUGGGUACUAGGUGUGGGGUCCAUUCCACGGGUUCCGUGCCGUAGCUAACGCUUUAAGUACCCCGCCUGGGGAGUACGGCCGCAAGGCUAAAACUCAAAGGAAUUGACGGGGCCCCGCACAAGCGGCGGAGCAUGCGGAUUAAUUCGAUGCAACGCGUAGAACCUUACCUGGGUUUGACAUGGAUCGGGAGUGCUCAGAGAUGGGUGUGCCUCUUUUGGGGUCGGUUCACAGGUGGUGCAUGCCUGUCGUCAGCUCGUGUCGUGAGAUGUUGGGUUAAGUCCCGCAACGAGCGCAACCCUUGUUCACUGUUGCCAGCACGUUAUGGUGGGGACUCAGUGGAGACCGCCGGGGUCAACUCGGAGGAAGGUGGGGAUGACGUCAAGUCCUCAUGCCCCUUAUGUCCAGGGCUUCACGCAUGCUACAAUGGCUGGUACAGAGAGUGGCGAGCCUGUGAGGGUGAGCGAAUCUCGGAAAGCCGGUCUCAGUUCGGAUUGGGGUCUGCAACUCGACCUCAUGAAGUCGGAGUCGCUAGUAAUCGCAGAUCAGCAACGCUGCGGUGAAUACGUUCCCGGGGCU